This 557-nucleotide unclassified non-coding RNA is filed under the name Hevea brasiliensis (rubber tree). Lineage: Eukaryota; Viridiplantae; Streptophyta; Magnoliopsida; Malpighiales; Euphorbiaceae. The record is from RNAcentral.
CAGCUUCUGAAUUGAGUACUAAAGACACUAGUUCAAGAAAUAAGAUCAAAAGGAAUGCAAGGAACAAGAGGCAACUAUGGACAAUUGUCAUGCUGGGAACAUCUCUUGCAACGCUUACUUUAUGCUUGUUUAUUCAUCUAGCAAGGACAAAACUGAUGAGGAAAGGGGGGGAUUUAUUGCAAUUUAAUUUAGAAAUGACCAUAAAAGAUGAUAAUACGGAGUGCAGUGAAGAAAAUAGUCUUCGAAAUUUUAGUUACAAGGAAGUCAAAUUGCCAUUAUUCAGUUUUAGGAGUGUCGCUGCAGCGACACAGAAUUUUUCAGCUGCCAAUAAGCUUGGGGAGGGUGGAUUUGGUCCUGUUUACAAGGGGAAAUUGUUGAGAGGAGGAGAGGUAGCUGUGAAAAGGCUUUCAAGAAGAUCUGGACAAGGAUGGGAAGAGUUGAAAAACGAGGCACUCCUUAUAGCCAAGCUCCAACACAAGAAUCUUGUUAGACUUUUGGGAUGUUGCAUUGAACGAGAUGAAAAGAUUCUAAUAUACGAGUACAUGCCCAACAAAAGC